This is a non-coding RNA of Monodelphis domestica (gray short-tailed opossum), 16721 nucleotides long. The record is from RefSeq and is a predicted model, not a curated record. Lineage: Eukaryota; Metazoa; Chordata; Mammalia; Didelphimorphia; Didelphidae.
GGUUAGAAAAAGGCCAUUGGAAUUGGCCGUUGAGACAUCAUCAGUGACUUUAGAGAGAGCACUUCCCAUUGAAUGAUGAGUUUGGAAUCCAGCCUGUAGAGGGCUAAGGAGAGAGUGAGAGGGAAGGAGUUGGAGGCAUGUGUUCUGGGUGGGCUCCUCAGGGAGGUAAGUCACAGAAGAGGAGAGGGAGGAGACAGCAGGCAGCAGAGACUGGUGGGUCUUCACAAAUAGAGGAGUUGUGGCAAUGUAGGUAGUGGAGAAGCAGAGAGGGAAUGACUGAAGAUAAGUGGACAGUCUGCAGCAGAACCGAGGACGUAAUGAGAUCACUUGUGCACAUGGAGCAGUCAGCCUUGUUCAGGAGAAUGGCCCCCUCAUUACAUGAGACAGAGGUGAAGGGAGAGGUGUUGUUAGAAGAAAACAGAAAAGAUGCGAUUGAACAUGAUCCCUUAGAAAAUUAUAGUAUGCGGGGCAGCUGGGUGGCUUAGUGGAUUGAGAGCCAGGCCAGGAGGCAGGAGGUCCUAGGUUCAAAUCUGGCCUCAGACACUUCCUAGCUGUGUGGCCCUGGGCAAGUUACUUGACCCCCAUUGUCUAGCCUUUACUGCUCUUCUGCCUUGGAACCAAUACACAGUAUUGAUUCCAAGAUGGAAGGUAAGUGUUUAAAGGGAAAAAAAGAAUAAAGAAAAAAGAAAAUUAUAUUAUGCUUACAGAUGAUACAUCAUGAAAUAAUAUAAAUCUUCUGUAUGUAUGCACCAAGUAGUAUAAUUAUCUGUGAAGAGAGGACUGAGAGUACAGACAGUCAAAGUGAAAAAGAAAGACUGAAUGUAGAGACAACGUUACGGAGUUUGAGUUCUAGUCUCAGCUUUUAGGAUUUUGUUCAAGUCACUCAAACACUCUGAGCUCAUGGCCUGAGCUGUGAAUGCAAUGAGAAUGCUUCCCCUGCCUGUGCUCCAAGUUUCUUGUGAGGAUCUAACAUGAAUAUGAGUAAAAGUCUUUAUCAGUGAAGUCUUCCUUUAGUUGUGAGCUAAUGGCAUGUUGGAAUGAUUGAUUCUGCCCAUUUGUGUUUGUAGACUUUUCUCUUUGCCUGGGGAAAUAGAAUGAAAGUCAGUUUUUAUUCUGCCAGUUGAGGAAAAGGGAUGUAUAUGUGUCGAGGUGACUAUGGGUAUAUGUUGUUUGUUUCUUUCAGAAGGAAAGAUUAGACUUGAAAUGAAAGAGAUGACUGCAGAGCUAAGCCUGUCUGGGGAAGAAACUCAGAGGCAAAGAUGCAUUGGUGAUGGUGCCUGUGAUUCCACUUGGAGAGAAAACUUGGAUGUACAUCAGAAAAUCCACACUGGAGGGAAGCCUUACGAAUGUAAUCAGUGUGGUAAAACAUUUGAAAAGAGAGCUUAUCUUACUGUACAUCAGAGAAUCCACACUGGAGAGAAACCUUUUAAAUGUAAUCAGUGUGGAAAGGCUUUUACACAGAAGUCUGGUCUUACUGUACAUCAGAGAACCCACACUGGAGAGAAAUCUUAUGACUGUUACCCGCUUAGUAAAGUCCUCAGUCAAAAGUCAACCCUUAUUUUCUCUCAACCACUGCCAAGUCAGUAAACAGCAGUCCUUGGGGGCAGCUGUGUGGAUCCCAGCCAUACCUUUGAGAACGUUUGCUCUACUGAUGACCCUGGGGUCAGGCUGCUGAUUAAAGGAAGAUUGCAGGGACCCUGGACUGGCCCUGGACGUGGGGCCUCAGCACAUUGAUCAGACAUGGUCCCAGGCUGUGCCUAAUGAUGGAGGAGCACACAAGCCUGCCAGAUGAGUAAGGCAAAAGAAUGAGAACAGGCUACAGCUCCCUAAAAGGCCUGCAUGAGUACAACUUGGACUUACCUGAGCCCCCGGAUCAGGAGGUAAGGACUUUGGAGAGGGCUUCUGUAAGAGUGUGUGUGUGUGCUUGCUUGGGGAAGAAUUCUCUAGGCCUGUGGCUGGGGUUUGCUAAGCCGGGGCCUGUGAAGGAGACUUAAACCCUUAUCCCCUUUGGGGGUGUUUCUGAGUGCGGACUUGAAGAGUAUGCAUUUCCCAAAUCCCGAGAGGGAUUGGGUCAGAAAUCCGAGAAAGUGAAUGGUGUCCUCUCCGGAGCCUGCCCCUGGUUCUGGUAUUUGAGAUUUUGACCAAAAUUUAGGCUGAUUUUGGAACCAUCUGUUCUGUUCUGUCCUGUUCUGUUCUGGUAAAUUAGUUCUGUUUCUCUAGAAUUCUGCUUUGUUUUGCCCCAUGGCCUGUUUUACUCUUAAGAGUCUGCCUGCUUUAAGGCUUGGUCUUCAAGUUCUGUUUGGACCCCUACCUUCUCUAGGAGUCUGCCUGCUUGAAGGUUCGGUCCUGAAGUUCUGUUUGGGUCCUAGAGUCCUGUUGGCCAUGGAGUUCUGUAAAUCCAGAUUCAGUAGAGGCUGUUGGGUUGCUGGACACAGCUUAGUCCCACAGUCAGGUCACUAAAGAGCCAUCUUUCAGUGACUUCAGGGAACCUUUGGGUUCAAAGGUGUAUGAAGGUGUGAGAGUGUGUCCUAUAGGCUUCUGUUGAGUCUUUGUUGUUUUUGUGCCACUAAAUGAAACAAAGAAAGAGGCAAAAAGAGUUUAAGAUGCAGACGGGAAUCUCUUUUGUAGUGGCUGUUCCCUGCUCCCUCCAACUGUAUCCCAAUGGAGCAGCCUAUGGGGGAAGGGCUGGACUGUGUCCCAUGGCAAGCUCCUAAGCAGGAGAGAGAGUCUGAAUAGGAGGGGAUUUACAAGUCCCUUCCUUGAGAAAAACAGCGAGCCUCAGGAACAGCUCACCUCCAACCCAAAUGGGAGCAGAUAGUUUUGUCCAGAUACUACAAGAGCAUUUUGUUAGAAAUCACAGUCAAAAAGAGUCAGUUUUUGAUAGAUCAGUUCAGAGAGAGCUAGGGAACAAGAACGUCAGCUCGGCCAAUCAGAUGGCUUAGCUCAUCACAUGUUCCCUGAGUACACUGAAACUUUUCAUGAAUUUUCUCCCUGCAAAUAUUUUUUUCUUGAGAAUGGAUCCUAUAGACACCUAUUUUUUCCUCUCAAAGCAUGCUCGUCACAGCAUUGUAUGUUACCAUUUGCCUUUGACACAGUUUCGUCUCUAUGUAAAAAGGGGGGAGUUGCAAACUUGAACUUUCCACUGUCAAAAAUCGUUAGCAAAGGACAAAAGCAAAUACCUGUUCAAUGAUUUUUACCUCUUUCUUCCUUUGGAUGGGCCCCCAAAGGAGCGAAAGAGAGAAAAUUCUGAGCAGAAAAGGGAGAUUUUUUUACUCCACAGUUAGCAAUUUUCAUUUAAAAUUAAUUCUCAACUUGGGAGGAUUGCUAAUGAUUUUGAUAUGGUACAAAUGUAAUGUAUUGUGGUUACUGUUUGUCAGUUAAAUGUGAAAUGUUGCCAGAUUUUUAUUGAGCACAAAAACUCCUGGUUAGAAGUUUGUUUUGUUAAACCUUGCAAUGAAUAAUGGUUUCAGUGAAUUUGAGAAUUGUCUAAGUGUGAUUGAUAAACAGCCUGACACAGAGAGGAAUGUUUAUUCUGUAUGGACAGAAAUUGUACUGGCUACUUUAUAGAUAUAAAAGUCAUUCAGAAAAAGUUAUGUUGUUGAGAAGAACUUAUUCUAGAAUUUAAAAUUGGGAAUCUUUCAAAUAAGAUUUAUUUUAAUGUAUGUGCUGUCAGAACUAGCAGCAAGAAAUCACAUGACACACAAGAAGUUUUUAAAGUGGUUAUUCUGUGCAUGGGAUUUAAUGAUAUAAGUGUUAAGAAUUUGAUAUUUUACAAAAGAGGAAAAUUUUAAAUGAUGUUGUCUUUAAUCAAGGUUAUAUGAAUUAUUUUUUUUUAAAUGUGCAAAAUGCAUAAAAAGGAAUUUGUAAUCUAGAGACGAACAUGUAUUCAGAUACCAAAUGCUGGAAAUUAGUAAUGCUGAGUGAAUGCAAAAUAUGUAUGUAUUUGUAUUAUGAAGAGAAUUCAAUUUUCCACCUAAAUAGGUCAAGGUUAUAUGAUAUACAAACUGUAUGUCCUUAACAAGACAAAUUUAACCAACCCUGAAAUCAAGAGGGCUUGUCAUUAGGAUUAAAUACAGUCUAGCUUCAGAUAUAUCUAAGAGGUCAGGCUGGAAUGCCAGGUAACAUGUAGCUAACUAGGGAAAAGUGAUUAAGUACAUGUGAAAGGAAAUAACUUUAUAUCUUAUAACCUAUCUAUAUAAGUUAAUCAUUGAAUUUUGGGGUCUCUGGAUUCAUUUUAUGAAGUGCUCCACUUCAAUAAGAGUAAUGAAUAGAGGUACUAACCGAUACUAUGAAUUCUAGUAUGAAAUAGACACAACAAAGUAUAAAUUGGAAUAAUGUUGAUGGACUUAAAUUAGGAAUGUGGCAAUGUUUUGAGCUAGAAAGAAACUAAACUGGAGGUUCUAUUCUACUUUAGACAGGUUUGAGAGGAGUCCAGGUAAAUGCUUUGCACUUCAGUUUGGUUACACUGAAACAUUGCUAAAGGACUUAAUCAGAGUUAUUUGGAAGUGUGGAGUUCAAACUGAAAUCCACUGAGAGUAUAUUAUUAUGAAAGGGGUUUGAUACAUUCAAACUUUUACAAUAUAGUGAGCUCACUGGUUAAAGAAGGAUAGGCCAUGGUUGCUUAAGUAAUAAAAUCUAAAUCAAGCCAGGCAGCCUUAGGAUAAAUUGCUCAGAAGUUAUUAACCCCUUCCUUGCACACAGGAAGAAGAAAGAAGUGCUCGUAAUUGUUCCACACUGAUACUUAGGGACUGAAAUAGGGAUCUCAAAAGGUUGAAAAUCAGUGGGUGAUAGAACUUAAAGAUGAGUAUAUUUUUAUUGUAUAUUAAUUGUACAUAUAUAUAAUUGUAUAUAUUGUAUAAUUGUAUAUGUACAAUAAUAAUUGUAUAUACUUGUUUUAAGGUGCUCAAGCAAGCAAAUAUUGCCAGUCCUGUCUGACCAAAAAGCUUAUUUGAAGCUGUGGAAUCUUAAUGCAAACAUUCCAUGUCCAGAGUGAUAAAAUGAGUUGAGUAAUAUGUAAUUUAUAAGUUUCCUCACACAAGUUUUGGGGAUUUGUUGGUUGAUAUUUUGAUUACAUUUUGAUCUGUAUAAGGAUAUACAUUGCAAACAGAAGCCAAAGAGUGGGUAGGAUGUUAAAAAUGGCAUAUAUGUGAAAAAUGCUUGCUCAGAAUUUUAUGAUUAUGUGCGUUGCUGCUAAAAUAUGUGUUUAAGUAUUGUUUAGAUGUGAACAAAAGCUCAUUGUAAACCUGUGCCAUAGAUUUUGUUCAAUACUCAGUGAUUACCUCAGUUUACCAAUUUGUAUUAUGAACUGAAAUUUAUAAUGGGUGAGCACUAUGCUAAAGAUAGUGGUUCAAUGCCAUAAUCCUUUAAAUCAGAAUUCAUUUGGGUUAUCGAUUAGCAAUUGAAGUAAUACCAAUAAUAUGUUUGUUUGACUUGAGUUAGUCAGAGAAGGUGGGAUGGUGUGUUGGAUUUGAAUUUGGAUGAAAGGGACUUUGAUAUAAAGUCCAUAAAGCUUUAGUAUGUGGGUUUGUAAAGGAAGAAUGGAAGUUGUGUUCUGCUUUUUAAGCAGAGGGGUUUUGAAGGAAGACAGAGAGAGAGAGAGAGAGAGAGAGAGAGAGAGAGAGAGAGAGAGAGAGAGAGAGAGAGAGAGAGAGAGAGAGAGAGAGAGAGAGAGAGAGAGAGAGAGAGAGAGAGAGAGGGAGAGAGAAGGAGAAAGAAAACAGAGAGAUGCUCUGCUCUUGUAAUUGGAUCCCUGACCUAGGGAUAAUCUCUAAAAUUAAUGUAUGUGUAGUGGGAAAAUGACACAUGAUUCUUUAAUUUCUCUGGACAGUUACCCAGAAGUGAUUCCUGUAUGGCCUUGUCUUAGUCUUUCAGAGGUCCUAGGUCCAGGAGAUGAUACAGCCCUGAUUUAUAUUACUAUGGAGCUACUUAAUUCAGCACUCAUGUUCUUUAUUUCAGGUUUUGUGACUAAAGUGUGAUGUGUAAAUUAUUGACAAAAUACCUGAGAAUAAUUGAGUGAUCAGCCUUGUAGGGAUAUCAAAGGCUUGUUUGGGGGUAUGGAGAUUUGUUUCUGGACUGCUGAUAAGCAGAAUUUCUCUCAACUGAAAUGGGUGAGACUUGUCUUUUAAAGCAAAAGAAGGCUUCUAGGAUUUAAUGGUGACAAAGUACACCACGGACACAGAAUGUCCUGGAAUGGUUACAGAGGCAUUUUCUGGGCUCACCUAGAAAAUGGACCUUUUCUAACCAUCUAGGCUAUUAACUACAAUGAUGGCAUGAGCUGGUGAUAGCAUUGACCUGCAUGUGAAGCCACUCACAGUGUCCUUUGUGGCAUGAGGAGAUAUUUUCCCUUUUGGGCCUUCUUCCUUCAUGAUAAUUCCCAUAAUCAGCACAUAAUGCAAAUUGUGAUAUUAAAAUGUCCAUUUCCUCAAACAACCCUAAUAAUUGGGAAUUCUCAAAUUGUUAGGGACAUACUUUGAGAAGUAGGUGAAGUUUACUCAUGGAUGGCUUGUAUUUGCAGCCUUAAUUUACCACAGUUGACGUUUGGAUCUUGAGCUUGGAAAUAUAGCUCAAAGAUUUAUUGGAUUUCCCCAGAAUCUGGGGUAAAGGAAUACAUCUGUAACAUAUUGUUACUCAAGUGUUUAUAGAUGUUAAUAGUUAAUGUGUACUUUGCAAAAGGAUAUUCUUUAACAGAAACAUCACAUACCAGCUCUGCAAACAACUCAGGAAUCCGAUUUCCUAAAGGGAUCUAUUCUUGACAGAAGAUGAUUUCUGAAGAUGGAGUCUGUUGGCUAAGAUACCCAAAUGCAAAUGUGUAAUAUUAAUUGCUACUGUAUUAAUGUUCUGUUUCUAUCUGCUAUUCUAGUUUUUUCCCCAGUCCUGGUUUCUGCACUUCUGUCUUAGGGGCUGGCUCUCCCCCUUGUGACCUGUCUGCCCAUUGGGGGAAGUGGUGGCUGGAUACCCUUCAGAUCUCCAAGCAGGUCUCCACCGACCUGUGACCCCCGCAUUCACUGAGGACACGGCCCUAGAGACCCUGUGUCUGCGGUCUUCCCCUCCCUGUUCACGUUUGGACUACUCCCCUGUGAGAGAGAGGUUCAUAGGCAUUUGUAAACUCGGCAACCAUUCCAGCCUGCAGCCCUGGAUAUUGCCUGUAGCCAAUCCCUCUCUCCUGACCAUAGGCAGGGACAGCUCUACACCCAUUCUCAGCAGUGAAGAAGCUACAGAAGACAUGGACCUUCACCCUUUUUCCCUUAGAUACUUGGAGAGGGGAGAGAAUGGGAUGGCAGGGGGCACUGAACCAGGUGGGGCCUGAGAUUCUGGCCCUCCUGGAGGCUGUGUGGUUCCCCUUUGGAUGGCUGGGCCUGCCAGAUGGCAGGACUCAUUUACCAGAAGCAGUGGGGAGACAGCUAGCAAAGAGAAUACAGGACACCACACAUACGGGAGGCACAAAAUAGUGAUAUGCUGGACAUAGACUUUGUCUUUCAUAAUAUGCACCGAAUCUGCAAAGAUAUCACUUAGAGAUGUUAGACGUGUGCGGGUUAAGCAAAAGGGGGGCCCGAAGGAACCAGAGGCACCCAGUGAAGAGGGCUGGAGCCAGGAGCCAGUGGUAGGCAGACUUUACAGAAAUCAAGCCAGGGACAUAUGGGUACAGGGGCCUUUUAGUCCUGGUAGACACCUUUGCAGGUUGGGUAGAAGCUUAUCCAACAAAACAUGAAACUGCCUCAGUGGUAGUUAAGAAAUUAAUGUCAGAGAGCAUUCCUGCAUUUGGACUCCCAGUGGGAAUAGGGUCAGAUAAUGGGUCUUCUUUGGUAGCCAGGGAGACUCAGCAAUUAGAAGGAGACCCUGACAAAAUUGGUCCUAGAGUCUGGCGAGAACUGGGUAAGCCUCCUCCCCUUUGACCUCCUGAGGGCCCGGUCCACCCCAUAUGUACAAGGUAUGACCCCAUUUGAAAUUCUGUUCGGUAGACCCCCUCCCCUCCUUCCUAAAUUGGGACUAGAAAAUUGGACUGAAUAUGAUAACCAAUAUCUGUUCUCUUCCCUGAAGGCUUUGGACAAGCUCAGGAAAACUACCACUCAGACUCCCCCUCCGUGUUGCCCACCCCAGAUGAGCUGCCCCUCGCCUCCCCCCACCAGAUUUCCACCUGCGCUCUCUCCUCCGUUUCCCCUUCAGGGAGGGGAUAACGAAGCAGCAGUGAUAGCUUCCCUGGCAGAGUUCCCCUCUCCCCCUGCACACCAUACUCGGGGCCUCAGACGUCGUGUUCUUAGCCCUGAAGCCCCCUCUUCUACUAUUGCCCUCCCAGUUCAUCCAGUUGGCCCUAUGGUGCCUGGAGGUCCCUUUGUCCACCAAUAUUGGCCUUUCACUUCAAGUGAUAUUUAUAAUUGGAAGCAUCAAAACCCACCCUUUUCUGAACAGCCUCAGAAAUUAAUUGACUUGGUCGAGUUAAUUUUCUUGACUCACAGUCCCACCUGGGAUGACGGCCAACACCUCCUCAGCACCAUCUUUAUCCCGGAGGAGUGCAACCGCAUCUAUGCCGAGGGAUGCAAACUGGUCCUUGGUGAUGAUGGUCAGCCCACUGCAGACCCAACCCGUCUUGCUGCUGUUUUUCUUACCACCCCGUCCGGACAGGGACUUCUCCUCGGAGGAAGGUAGGGAGCUUAUUCGAAUCUACCGCCAGACUCUCUUAACCGGGCUCCAGGUGGUGAGCCGGAAGCCCACUAAUUCGGCUAAACUUGAAUCUAUGUCAGGGCCCUGAAGAUACUCCAGCAGUGUUUUUAGAGCGCCUACAGGGGGCAUUUAGGAUUUAUUCCCCCUUAGACACCAUGGUGCCCCCAGUCAAAUCACAGUUCUUUUAGCAUUCGUUAAUCAGGCAUCCCCAGACAUUCGAAUGAAGCUCCAAAACCUAGACGAAUUCAUCAACCAGCCCCUCUCUUGUUAUGGGGGUUGUCCCUCGUUCUUCUGAGCGCCAAAAUGUUAUGGGCGGGGGAAGGAUACCCUUGGGUUCGGGAAGGAUACCUUUUGCAAGCAUGCAAGACUCCAAAACUUAGCUUAAAAACAAAAAAGAGAUUUAUUAAUUUAGAGAGUAAUGUUGAGAGUGGCCAGGAGGAUAGCAAGGUGGAACAGCAAGAUGGGGAGCAGUUCCUUGGGAGGACAGCAUGGAUGGAAAGGCUGUCCCCCAGACGACAUCAGUUCUGGGGUUUAUAUACUCUUUAGAUGCUAUGUCCUGGUGUGGACAGGAGCUAGAGUAUUAGUCCCUCAGGCAUUUGGUGGGGUGAGGUGGUCAUCUGACUGGGGUCUGCUUGGGGGCAUAAAGAUUCAUCUCUUUGUCCAUCUUAAAUCUAGAGGACAAAAGAGGGUAAACAUCUCAGGACCCUAGGUGGGGGGUCAUUGGGUGUUUCUAGGUUAAGAGUCAGGAGGAGGCAAAGCAAGGGAGUUUCCCUGAUAAUAGUUCCUGGGUUUCUGGGGUACACUGCCCAUGUCACUCUGACCUCCUAAAAAUACCGAGAAGGUCUUUAACUCCCGGGAAACCAAGGAGGAGAGGAGAGAGUGGUUCAGAUGGGAAGACCUUGAGUGCCAGGCACAGCUCAAGAGGUAGGAAGAGGAAUAGGAAAAGAACAGGCAGAAUGACCUCCAAUCUGGAGAAGAAAAAUCUAGGAGACAGUUUCUGAGAUGUCAGCAAAAGACAACUCACAAACAUUCAUUACGUCCCUGGAUAUCCUUGAUCCUUUGUUCUUCCAAAUGAACUUUGUUAUGGUUUUCUCUAAUUCAGUAAAAAAAGGUUUUUGGAAGUUCAAUGGGUAUGGCACUAAAUAGAUAGACAAGUUUGGGUAGGAUUGUCAUUUUUAUUAUGUUAGCUCGUCCCACCCAUGAGCAAUCAAUAUUUUUCCAAUUGUUUAGAUCUAUUAUUAAUUGUGUGGAGAGUGUUUUGUAGUUGUGUUCAUAUAGUUCCUGUGUUUGUCUGGGCAGAUGUAUUCCUAAGGAUUUUAUAUUGUCUAGAGUGAUUUUAAAUGGAAUUUCUCUUUCUAAUUCUUGCUGCUGAGAUGGAUUGGAGAUAUAUAGAAAUGCUGAUGACUUAUGUGUGUUUAUUUUGUAUCCUGCAACUUUGCUAAAGCUGCAUGCUGUCCCCAUGGGGGAACAGCCUUUCCUUUCAUAGCUUUUUGAUUGAUUCUCUAGGAUUCUUUAAGUAUACCAUCAUAUCAUCCUCAAAGAGUGAUAGCUUGGUCUCCUCAUUGCCAAUUUUAAUACCUUCAAUUUCUUUUCCUUCUCUAAUUGCUACUUCUAGUGUUUCUAGUACAAUGUUAAGUAAUUGGGGUGAUAAUGGGCAUCCUUGUUUCACUCCUGAUCUUAUUGGGAAGGCUUCUAGUUUAUCCCCAUUGCAGAUGAUGUUUGCUGCUGGUUUCAGAUAUAUACUGUUUAUUAUUUUUAGGAAAGGCCCUUGUAUUCCUAUACUUUCUAGUGUUUUCAAAAAGAAUGGGUGUUGUAUUUUAUCAAAGGCUUUUUCUGCAUCUAUUGAGAUAAUCAUGUGAUUUUUGUCAGUUUACUUGGUAAUAUGGUCAAUUAUGUGGAUAGUUUUCCUAAUGUUGAACCAUCCUUGCAUUCCUGGCAUGAAUCCUACCUGGUCACAGUGAAUAACACUUGUGAUGACUUGCUGGAGUCUUUUUCCUAGUAUCCUAUUUAAGAUUUUUGCACCUAUAUUCAUUAGGGAGAUGGGUCUAUAUUUUUUUUCUCUGUUUUUAACCUGCCUGACUUUGGGAUCAGUACCAUGUUUGUGUCGUAAAAAGAAUCUGGUAGAACCAAUUCUUGGCUUAUUCUGUCAAAUAGCUUGUAUAAUAAUGGGAUGAGUUGUUCUUUGAAUGUUUGAUAGAAUUCAUUUGUGAACCAUCUGGACCUGGAGAUUUUUUCUUAGGGAGUACUUUGAUGGCUUGUUCUAUUUCUUUUUCUGAUAUGGGGUUGUUUAGGUAAUUUAUUUCUUCCUCUUUUAGUCUAGGCAAUUUAUAUUUUUGUAAGUAUUCAUCCAUUUCACCUAGAUUGCCAUAUUUGUUGCCAUAUAAUUGGGCAUAGUAGUUUUUAAUGAUUGCCUUAAUUUCCUCUUCAUUAGAGGUGAGGUCUCCCUUUUCAUCUUGGAUACUGACAAUUUGUUUUUUUUUUCUUUCCUUUUUUAAUUAGACUGAUUUAAAUAGAUGUUGUCUAUUUUAUUUGUUUUUUUCAAAGUACCAGCUUCUAGUCUUAUUUAUUAAAUCAAUAGAUCAAUUAAAUCAAUAAAUCAAUAGACUUUCAAUUUUAUUAAUUUCUCCUUUGAUUUUUAGGAUCUCUAAUUUAGUCUUCAUCUGAGGAUUUUUAAUUUGUUCACUUUCUAGUUUUUUAAUUUGCAUGCCCAAUCUGCCCUUCUUAAUUUGUUUAUAUAUGAACUCAAGGAUACAAAUUUCCCCCUGAGUAUUGCUUUGGCUGCAUCCCAUAGGUUUUGAAAGGAUGUCUCACCAUUGUCAUUUUCUUCACUGAAGUUAGUAAUUGUUUUGUUCUUUAACUACCCGGUUUUGGAGAAUCAUAUUGUUUAAUUUCCAAUUAAUUUUUGAUUUAUCUAUCCAUGUACCCUUACUAAUUAUUAUUUUCAUUGCAUAGUGGUCUGAGAAGGUUGCAUUUAUUAUUUCUGCCUUUUUCACUUGAUUGCAAUGUUUUGGUGCCCUAAUACAUGGUCAAUUUUUGUGAAUGUACCAUGUGCUGCAGAAAAGAAGGUGUAUUCCUUUUUGUCCCUAUUUAUUUUUCUCCACAUGUCUACUAGCUCUAAGUUUUCUAAGAUUUCAUUCGCUUCUUGCACCUCUUUCUUAUUUAUUUUUUGGUUUGAUUUAUCUAGUUCAGAUAGAGGAAGGUUUAGAUCUCCCACUAGUAUAGUUUUUCUAUCUAUUUCAUCCUUGAGCUCCUCUAGAUUCUCCUUUAGAAAUUUGGAUGCUAUGCCAUUUGGUGCAUACAUAUUGAGUACAGAUAUUUCCUCAUUGUCUAUACUGCCUUUUAUCAGGAUGUAAUUACUUUCCCUAUCUCUUUUUACUAGAUUUAUUUUUACUUUGGCUUUGUCAGAUAUCAUGAUUGCGACUCCAGCCUUCUUUUUAUUAAUUGAUGCCCAAUAGAUUUGGCUCCAUCCUCUUCCUUUCACCCUAUGUGUAUCUAUCUUCCUCAUGUGUGUUUCUUGCAGACAACAUAUGGUAGGAUUUUGGAUUUUAAUCCACUCUGCUAUUCACUUGCGUUUUAUGGGUGAGUUCAUUCCAUUCACAUUCAGUUAUGAUUACUAGCUGUGUAUUUUCCAGCAUUUUGAUUUCUACUCCUUGACCUGCCUUUUCUUCUUCCACUAUUUCCUUCUACACCAAUUCUUGUUUAUAAUCAGUCCCCCUAGUUCCCACCCUCAUUUUACUUCCCUUUCUACCACCCUCCCUUCUUAUACCCCCCUUAUUUUCCCUUGUAGUCUUUUUAAAAUUGCCCCCCCCCAUCCUCUCCCUCCCUUAUACUGCUUCCUUCCCCACCAGUCUGUUUGUUACCCUUCUACUCCCCUAUAGGGCACAAAUCUAUUCUCUACCCCAAUGGAUUGUAUUGUUCUUGCCUCUUUGGGUCAGUUUCAAAGCAUGUAAGAGUUGAGUAUUUCUUAUCUACAAACUACCCUUCUAGUGUAUUGAUGUUCUCCCCCCUCCAACCAUGAGCUUCUUGUGACACAUAAAUUUACCCCCAUUUGUUUCUUUUACCAUUUCUUUUAGUAUUAAUCUCUUUUUUAAGCUCUAGUUAUAUAUAUAUAUAUAUAUAUAUAUACACAUGUAUAGGUAUUUAUGCAUGCAUAUAUCUAUAUACCUAUUUAUGUCUUGUCCUUUCAUUCUAUAUAGUUUGUCACUGUUCCCUCUAAGUGUAAUUCUUCUAGCUGCCCAGGUGAUAGAAACAGUUUUUAAGAGUUACCAAUGACCUCUUUUCUUAUAGGUAUACAUAUUAUUUAAUUUAUUGAGUCUCUUAAAAAAGUUUUUGUUGUUCUUUUGUUUUGUUUUGUUUUGUUUUUCUUUUCCCCCUCUUUUUUACUUACCUUUUGAUGAUUCUCUUGAGUCCUGUGCUUGGACAUCAAAUUUUCUGUUCAGGUAUGUUUUUUCUUCACGAAUGCUUGGAAUUCUUCUAUUGUGUUGAAUGAUCAUACUUUCCCAUGUAAGAAUAUAGUCAGUUUUGAUGGGUAGUUGAUUCUUGGUUGUAGACCUAGUUUCCUUGCUUUCCGGAAUAUCAUAUUCCUUGCCUUUUGGUCCUUCAGUGUGGAUGCAACCAGAUCCUGUGAUAUCCUCGCUGUGGUUCCAUGGUAUCUGAAUGACUUCUUCUUGGCAGCUUGUAAUAUCUUUUCUCUGGUCUCAUAGUUUUUGAAUUUGGCUAUAACAGUCCUGGGUGUAGUCAUUUGGGGAUUAAAUAUAGGAGGUGAUCUGUGGAUUCGUGCAAUUGCCACUUUUCCCUCUUGUGCUAGGAUAUUGGGGCAGUUUUCCUGAAUAAUUUCCUGUAGUAUUAUGUCCAGGCUUUUUCUUUUGUCAUGGUCUUCUGGUAGACCUAUGAUUCUUAAAUUGUCUCUUCUCAAAUGAUUUUCUAAAUCAUCUGUUUUGUGAAUGAGAUGCUUCAUAUUUUCCUCAAUGUUUUCAUUCCUUUCAUUUUGUUUUAUAGUGUCCUGCUGCCUUGUGAGGUCACUUAAUUCCAGUUGUUGUAUUCUAGUUUUUAAAGACUGGAUUUCAUCACUGGAUUUUUGGUCAUCCUUUUCCUUCUGGUCUGAUUUUCUUUGAAGGUCAUCUUUCUUCCUCUUUACCUCGUCUUUCAUCUCCUUUGUCUCAUCUUUCAUCUUCUUUGCCUCAUUUUCCAGUUGUUUGAUUUUGGCUUUCAAGACUCUAUUUUCUUGUUUUAGUUCAAGUGCCUCUGUUUCCAAAUGACUUAUCAUAAUUUUAAAGUUCUUUUUCCAAUUGUCUUCAGCCUCUCUUAAUUGUGUUUUGAGUUCUUCCACAGCCUGUAUCCAAUUUGCUGGGAUUUCUGAUUUAUUGUUUGCUGAUCUCUCCCCUUCUGUUCCAUUUGCUGAAUAGAAGGUGUCUAUUGUAGUUUCUUUCUUCUUUUUCUGCUGUUUACUCAUAUUCACCCCCUUCUUUACUCCCCGUAUUUGUCUGUGCUCUUGCUCCUCUCAUUUUUUUGUUUUUGUUUUGUGGGCUUCUGUCAAUCUCCCCUCUUGGAGCUUUAACAGUAGAUCUCCUGGUGUAGUCUUGGUGUAGUGUAGUAGGGAGUGUUGUUGGGGGUUUGAGCUCCCCUGUCCUCUGGAGGCUUUUGAUUAGAUUAAAGUCCAGCAGUCAAUGAGGAUGGGUGUGGAGUGUGGGCUUCCCUGGGUUCUGGAGACUUUUGAUGGGAUUAAGUUCAGCUUAGUUGGGCUAGGUGUGCUCUCAGUCCAAAACCUCCUGGAAGUCUGGGGCAAAUAUGGAGGAUCUCCACAGCUCUGGCCAGGUUACCAGGUCUAUGCUCCUUCCCUAGCUCCUUCCCCGCUACCUGUGUUGGACACUCUGAACUUGGCACAGCCCUGCCCGCAAGGUAUGCCAUCCAGACCAGUACUUUUGCCUGCCCAGAAGUUCCCACUGGCACUGGAGUCUCAGCACUCUAGUUGGGAGUGGGGUUGGGUCCUGGGACCUUCCUUCUGUCUUCCCCUUAAACUUGAGUGUUCUCAGAUUCCAGCUUUUUGGUGGGUGUACCUUUUGAAUUAAGUCCAGCAGGAGGGUUCCUUGGCUUUGUCUUGUUGUUGAGUUUGAUUAUCACUCCCCUGGGACCAUUCAAUUUGUGAUCGAUAAGGAAGGGUAUUCAGAGGUCUGAAUUUCUGCUCCUUCUAGACUGCCAUCUUGACUCCGCCUCCUCAUGUCCAUAUUUAUUGACCUGAUAAGGAUCCACAAAUUCCCAUUUGUCUUCAGUGAUGUCAUAACUUUCUGUUGAAUAAAAUGUCUCAUGCCUAGUACUUCUAGCCAUAGCAUAGAUGUACCUACCAAUAACACGAACUGCAAAAUCUGAAUGUGGAACAGACAUAGCUGCCAUUCUCAUCCCAGUAUUUUGUCUUGGAUCAUACCUGAAUACUUCGGAGGAAGCAUGGAAUUGACCAUCUGGCCCCAGUUCUUCUCUGCCUAACAAGAACACAAAGUUAUUCAUGAUGGCAAGACAUUCUGGGUGUAGAGGUCUUGUGGACUCUCCAGCUCCCACCAGACCCAUGCUUUGUAUGAAAGAAGAAUUUUACUAUUAAUCAUGCUACAUUAUCUAGAGUUCAAAGGAUGGAGGAUAAAAUAUCUGAUUGGCCAGCAGGUAGGCAGAUCCCAAAUUAGGCACAUAAAUUACCUAAAAUGUACUACUAAGAAAAUUACUUGCAGGAAUCUCCAGAUCCCCUAUAAUAUUUUUAGGGCUCAACCUGGCCUGCAUAUCCAGAAUUAAAUAAUUCUUGUCUCAUGGUGACAAACAACUCUGGUGUCUCACUGUGCACGACUGGACUCAAAUACUGCAAUUAAGUUUUCCCACAUUGGUAAUAAAGCUAUAACUAAAGGUUUUCCUAUAGUCAUUCCAGUCAAGUAGUUUCUCUCCAGUGCAAGUUCUCUUUUGGACAAUAAUGUGAGCCAUUAAAAUGAAAACUUUCUCACAUUAAUCCAAUUCAAAGGACUUUUCUACCCAGUAUAGAUUCUCUGAUAUUUAGUGCUGUUUGGUGAUGGAAGCUUGCCCUACAUUCAUUACAUUGAAAUGGUUUCUCUCCAGUUCCUACUGACGUUCUCUUAUGUUUUAUAAGGCUUUACCUUACCCUGAAAGUUUCCCCAUAUUCAUUAUAUUCAAUUUUUUUUAAAUUUUAAGUUCUCUGAUAAAAAAUGAUGUGUUCUUUUGGAAAUAAAGCUUUCCUAUAAUAAAUGUUGGAGGGAAUGUGGCAAAAUUGGGACAUGAAUGCAUUGCUGGUAGAGUUCUGAAAUAAUCCAAGCAUUGUGGAUGGCAAUUUGGAACUAUGCCCAAAGGGCAUUAAAAGACUAUCUGCUCUUUGAUCCAGCCACAGCACUGCUGGGUUUAUACCCCAAAGACAUCAUAAGGAAAAAGGCUUGUACAAAAAUAUUUAGAGCCUUACUCUUUUUGGUGGCAAAAAAUUGGAAAAUGAGAGAGUAUCCCUUAAUUGGGGAAUGGCUGAACACAUUGUGGUAUAUGAUGGUGGUGGAAUACUAUUGUGCUGAAAGAAAUAAUUAAUUGGAGGAAAUCCAUGUGAACUGGAAAUACCUCCAGGAAAGGAUACAGAACUAAGGAGCAGAACGAGGAGAACAUUUUAGACAGAGACUGAUACACUGUGGUACAAUCGAAUUUAAUGGACUUCUCUACUGGCAGAAAUACAGAGACCCAGGACAAUUCUGAGGGGAUUGUGAGAGAGAAUGCUAUCCACAGUCAGAGGAAAAACUGUGGGAGCAGAAACAUAGAAGAAAAACAACUGCCUGAUCACAUGGUUUGAUGGGGAUAUGAUUGGGGAUAUAGACUAAACAAUCACCCUAGUGCUAAUAUCAAUAAUAUGGAAAUAGGUUUUGAUCAAUGAUACAUGUAAAACCCAGUGGAACUGCACAUCGGCUAUUCUGGGGGAAGAGGAGGGGAAGAACAUGAAUCAUGUAACCAUGGAAAAAUAUUCUAAAUUAAUUAAAUAAUUAAAAAUUUUCAAUUAAAAAAGAAAAUAAAGCUUUCCCACAUUUAUGAUCAUAAAA